Long non-coding RNA from Acyrthosiphon pisum (pea aphid), 939 nucleotides. RefSeq lists it as uncharacterized. The record is from RefSeq and is a predicted model, not a curated record. Lineage: Eukaryota; Metazoa; Arthropoda; Insecta; Hemiptera; Aphididae. The transcript has 2 exons.
GGCGAUACUAUAAUAAUAUUGCGCACGUGAAACUCAGAUGCGAGAAAGAUUCUCGUUAUCACGAAUCGUUGUAACAGUCUGCCGCUCAUGUGCCCGUGUUAAUCCAUUAAAUCCAUAUGAUUGAUAACGGAGUUCUCUUGCCAAAAGUCCAUCGCGUGUGAACGAUUGCGUGCAAAACCGAACAAUAAUUGCGGACAGGACGACAACAUCAAACCGGGGAAAAACCGGCAUUUUUGUUUUUCAUCGCGUGACGAAUAUUAGGUAUUUUGUUUCGAUUUUCACAUUUUCUUUUUACGUAAAACCUUGAAUCGCGAUCUCGGUGGCUGGAUCGUUUCACUGGACCGGAAGCUCGCUCCGGACCCGACGACACUGGAUUUUGGCCCUUAAUGCUCGGGUGACACGAUGCCCAGCGAACUACGCCCGUGCCGCCGCCCCCGUGUCCGCCUGCUCGCCGUCGCAUCGUCGCACUGUCACCAUCGUUGAAUCGUAUCUCUAGAUCGCUGCGCAAUUUCCGUUUGCGGGGAUCCGGAAGUGUGCGUGUACCCAAGUAUGGUCAAGUUAUUUGACAUCCGGUCAAUAAAAUAGAGGGGAGAAAGUUUCUCCGCAACUAUUCCUAUGAGAACAAUAUCCAUCAAGAUCAAAUUUACAACUGAGAAACAAUUAAAAAAUACCUUUUUAAGUAUAUGAAAAUGUAAUUACUUAUAUGAACCUUAAGCAACGGUUCUAAGUAUUAUAGUAAAUUUUGUACAUUUACAUGUAAAUUGAACAUUUUUUUUUUAGUAGUUUGAAUAUUUUUUAGUUAAUUAAAAAUAAAAUGUAUUUUAAAUUAUAAUAUUAUAUUUAUUUCAAUCAUUUAGUCUAAAUAUCAUAAUUUUAAUUAAACUCAUUAUAUUCUCUGAUUGUUGUUAUUACUUGAAUAAAUUCUACAAACUUUAAAUA